RNAcentral lists this ribosomal RNA (253 nucleotides) under uncultured bacterium. RNAcentral describes it as "partial 16S ribosomal RNA". It matches the Rfam family "Bacterial small subunit ribosomal RNA", at positions 524 to 776 of the family's 1533-position model. The record is from RNAcentral.
UACGUAGGGUGCAAGCGUUAUUCGGAAUUACUGGGCGUAAAGCGUGCGCAGGCGGUUAUGCAAGACAGAUGUGAAAUCCCCGGGCUUAACCUGGGAACCGCAUUUGUGACUGCAUAGCUGGAGUACGGCAGAGGGGGAUGGAAUUCCGCGUGUAGCAGUGAAAUGCGUAGAUAUGCGGAGGAACACCGAUGGCGAAGGCAGUCCCCUGGGCAUGUACUGACGCUCAUGCACGAAAGCGUGGGGAGCAAACAGG